AUUGAACGCUGGCGGAAUGCUUUACACAUGCAAGUCGAACGGCAGCACGGGAGCUUGCUCCUGGUGGCGAGUGGCGAACGGGUGAGUAAUGCGUCGGAACGUACCGAGUAAUGGGGGAUAACGCAGCGAAAGCUGUGCUAAUACCGCAUACGCCCUGAGGGGGAAAGUGGGGGAUUCGUAAGGACCUCACGUUUAUUCGAGCGGCCGACGUCUGAUUAGCUAGUUGGUGGGGUAAAGGCCUACCAAGGCGACGAUCAGUAGCGGGUCUGAGAGGAUGAUCCGUCACACUGGAACUGAGACACGGUCCAGACUCCUACGGGAGGCUG
Molecule: ribosomal RNA, 326 nt
Filed under: uncultured Pseudomonadota bacterium
Lineage: Bacteria; Pseudomonadati; Pseudomonadota
Description: bacterial SSU rRNA
Rfam family: Bacterial small subunit ribosomal RNA
Source: RNAcentral